RNAcentral lists this ribosomal RNA (896 nucleotides) under Glyptocombus sp. FL_4274. RNAcentral describes it as "SSU rRNA". It matches the Rfam family "Eukaryotic small subunit ribosomal RNA", at positions 477 to 1284 of the family's 1831-position model. Lineage: Eukaryota; Metazoa; Arthropoda; Insecta; Hemiptera; Schizopteridae. The record is from RNAcentral.
UAACGAUACGGGACUCAUCCGAGGCCCCGUAAUCGGAAUGAGUACACUUUAAAUCCUUUAACAAGGAUCCAUUGGAGGGCAAGUCUAGUGCCAGCAGCCGCGGUAAUUCUAGCUCCAAUAGCGUAUAUUAAAGCUGUUGCGGUUAAAAAGCUCGUAGUUGGUUCUGUGUUCCACGCUGUCGGUUCACCGCAUGUCUGUGUAACUGACAUGUCGUGGGACGUCCUGCCGGUGGUAGUUAAACGCCAGGUGCUCAAGUCUUGGACUUGUUCCAUUGAUUUUGAGCCAGCUGGUUAGUUUAAAUUACCGAGCGCACUUACCCGCCCUGGUGCUCUUUACUGAGUGUCGAGGAGGGCCGGCACAUUUACUGUGCACAAAUUAGAGUGCUCAAGGCAGGCAAAAUUACGCCUAAAUAGUGGUGCAUGGAAUAAUAGAAUAAGACUUUGGUUUUAUUUUGUUGGUUUUUUGAACCUAAGGUAAUGAUCAAUAUGGACGGUCGGGGGCAUUCGUAUUGCGACGUUAGAGGUGAAAUUCUUGGAUCGUCGCAAGACGCACAAGAGCGAAAGCAUUUGCCAAGUACGUCCUAAUUGAUCAAGAACGAAAGUUAGAGGCUCGAAGGCGAUCAGAUACCGCCCUAGUUCUAACCAUAAACGAUGUCAGCCAGCGAUCCGUCGGAGUUUAUAUCAUGACUCGACGGGCAGCUUCCGGGAAACCAAAGCUUUUGGGUUCCGGGGGAAGUAUGGUUGCAAAGCUGAAACUUAAAGGAAUUGACGGAAGGGCACCACCAGGAGUGGAGCUUGCGGCUUAAUUUGACUCAACACGGGAAAUCCCACCAGGCCCAGACAUUGGAAGGAUUGACAGAUUGAUAGCUCUUUCUUAAUUCAGUGGGGAGUGGUGCA